CCCACCAACCCUCUCAGAAAUCGCAGAAGAUAUGUGUAUACAACGUUUAUUAUUUAAUUCACCAAAUACAUCAUUUGAUGCAUUAUGUGAUAAUAGUUUUACAAAAUGAAAUGCAACCCUUGUUCCAUGACGUAAAAGUCGACAUAGCCCUUAUUUAACUACAGCACCAUACAGGUAUAAUCUUGCCGGAGUAGGAUUAGGAGGUAACACGUCGGUAGUAGAAUUCGUUCAUGACGGAAUAAAUGUAUCGUGGAAUUAUAAAACAUGGAAUAUUCAAGAUGUACUUACAAGCAGCUGCCAUGAUUCUUUUAUCAUCGGAUCUACUUACGCUACAAAACCACAUAUGCCUUAUUACGGACACCUCAUUAUGAAUGCAACGUAUAGAGCACCUAUGGAUAUUAGAAAUGAGAGUCGCCUUAUUUUCGCAGAGAGGCGUAAUGGACAGACAAGAAUAAAAAAGUUAACUGAUCCUAACCAAAUGAUAUACACCAACAAAGGCAGUUUCUUUAUCAGCGAGGGUAGGACGGGCCUUGUUCAGAGUGCGUGCAAAAGGUCGAGAAACUAUUAACACAGAUAUUAUAACUUCAAUGCAAACAGUUCUUUACGAAAAAUAUAAAAGGAAUGAAAAUAAAAUUAUCGGUAAUAAUUGGUAGUCUAGUGUAUAUAGUUAAAAAAGGACAUAUAAAGACUAUUACAUAAUUUUCUAUGUCUGGCCUCAAAGCUUUAGAUGGUGUUCUAAAGAUGACAAACGGAAGUGUAGCAUGUAAUCUUAUGUGGGAUUAUAAGGAGCCAAUGUUAGAAUCAUUUCAUGAUUUUAUUAGAAUACAGCAAUGUCCCGAGAUACAUUUACUGUCAGAUAUGAUAGCCGUUGGCACAAUAAUUAAUAUAAAUAUAUAAGCUAAAAUUUGUCAUUGUGGAACGGCGUUAUGAUGUUGUAAGUUAUUUGUCCCGGUUAUGCAGACGUUA
Molecule: long non-coding RNA, 966 nt
Organism: Acromyrmex echinatior (Panamanian leafcutter ant)
Lineage: Eukaryota; Metazoa; Arthropoda; Insecta; Hymenoptera; Formicidae
Source: RefSeq, a predicted model, not a curated record